ACGAAGGGUGCAAGCGUUACUCGGAAUUACUGGGCGUAAAGCGUGCGUAGGUGGUGGUUUAAGUCUGCUGUGAAAGCCCUGGGCUCAACCUGGGAAUUGCAGUGGAUACUGGAUCACUAGAGUGUGGUAGAGGGAUGCGGAAUUUCUGGUGUAGCAGUGAAAUGCGUAGAGAUCAGAAGGAACAUCCGUGGCGAAGGCGGUUCUCUGGGCCUUACCUGACGCUGAGGAGCGAAAGCGUGGGGGGCAAACAGGA
This 253-nucleotide ribosomal RNA is filed under the name uncultured prokaryote. RNAcentral describes it as "partial 16S ribosomal RNA". It matches the Rfam family "Bacterial small subunit ribosomal RNA", at positions 525 to 777 of the family's 1533-position model. The record is from RNAcentral.